CUACCUACGGGACGCAGCAGUCGGGAAUAUUGCGCAAUGGAGGAAACUCUGACGCAGUGACGCCGCGUAUAGGAAGAAGGUUUUCGGAUUGUAAACUAUUGUCGUGAGGGAAGAAAUUGACAGUACCUCAGGAGGAAGCUCCGGCUAACUAUGUGCCAGCAGCCGCGGUAAUACAUAGGGAGCAAGCGUUAUCCGGAUUUACUGGGUGUAAAGGGAGCGUAGACGGCAGUGCAAGUCUGGAGUGAAAGGCGGGGGCUCAACCCCCGGACUGCUCUGGAAACUGUACGGCUGGAGUGCAGGAGAGG
RNAcentral lists this ribosomal RNA (305 nucleotides) under uncultured bacterium. RNAcentral describes it as "bacterial SSU rRNA". It matches the Rfam family "Bacterial small subunit ribosomal RNA", at positions 333 to 657 of the family's 1533-position model. The record is from RNAcentral.